UACAGAGGUCUCAAGCGUUGUUCGGAUUCAUUGGGCGUAAAGGGCGCGUAGGCGGCCCGCACAAGUCUGCGGUGAAAACCCCCGGCUUAACCGGGGGCCGGCCGUGGAAACUGUCGGGCUAGAGGCCGGGAGAGGGCAGCGGAAUUCCCGGUGUAGCGGUGAAAUGCGUAGAGAUCGGGAGGAACACCGGCGGCGAAGGCGGCUGCCUGGACCGGCCCUGACGCUGAGGCGCGAAAGCUAGGGGAGCAAACGGG
This 254-nucleotide ribosomal RNA is filed under the name uncultured bacterium. Its description in RNAcentral is "partial 16S ribosomal RNA". It matches the Rfam family "Bacterial small subunit ribosomal RNA", at positions 524 to 776 of the family's 1533-position model. The record is from RNAcentral.